Molecule: ribosomal RNA, 428 nt
Filed under: uncultured archaeon
Lineage: Archaea
Description: bacterial SSU rRNA
Rfam family: Archaeal small subunit ribosomal RNA
Source: RNAcentral
UACCGGCAGCCCUAGUGGUGGCCGCUUUUAUUUGGCCUAAAGCGUCCGUAGCCUGAUAGGCAAGUCUUUGGGUAAAUCCUACGUCUUAAGCGUGGGAAUUCUAAAGAUACUACCUGUCUUGAGGCCGGGAGAGGCUAGAGGUACUCCUGGGGUAGGGGUAAAAUCCUAUAAUCCUGGGGGGACCACCGAUGGCGAAGGCAUCUAGCUGGAACGGGCCUGACGGUGAGGGACGAAACCCAGGGGAGCGAGCCGGAUUAGAUACCCGGGUAGUCCUGGGCGUAAAUGAUGUGGGCUUGGUGUGAGCGCAUCGACGAGGUGCGUUUGUGCCGUAGGGAAGCCGUUAAGCCCACGCCUGGGGAGUACGGUCGCAAGGCUGAAACUUAAAGGAAUUGGCGGGGGAGCACUACAAGGGGUGGAGGCUGCGGUUU